This is a long non-coding RNA of Hylaeus anthracinus, 521 nucleotides long. RefSeq lists it as uncharacterized. NCBI's taxonomy places the organism in Eukaryota, Metazoa, Arthropoda, Insecta, Hymenoptera, Colletidae. The record is from RefSeq and is a predicted model, not a curated record. The transcript has 2 exons.
GGGAGAUUUACCAUAAAAAAAAUGGAAAAAUCGCGAGAUCAGCUGCCAUUAAAUGCGAAAAGUUCAAUCUCGAUCCAUAAAUUCCUCGACGAGUUUCAUAAAAAAAAAAAAAAAAAAUUAGGAAUUUUGCAACAACAAUAUGAUCAACUCGAAAACCUGUCCGGCAACAAAAUGUAAAGUGUUUCGUCGAUUUCAUCGAAUUCGGGCCGAACAUACGGGAAAUAGUACAAUUUCGCGAUAAAAAGUGCAAUAAAGUGGUAAAAAAUGGAAGUAGGUCAAAUUUCUUUUCAAGCUUUUAAGAGGCAACGAAGCCCUGCCAGAUGCGAGAAGAUUCAAUCCGAUUGGUCAAUUCCUUUCGAAAUAAGAAGAAAUACAAAAUUUUUCGGUUUUUUGCAAAAAAAAAAGAAAGCGGUUAAAAAAUGAGAAAUUCCAAAAUCUUUUGAUCGUGGAAUCACCUCGGAGAUAUGCUCUACAAGAUAAGAUCUCAGCGUAAUCGAGUAACAUGCAUAAAAAAAUAUAUA